Molecule: ribosomal RNA, 199 nt
Filed under: uncultured Porphyrobacter sp.
Lineage: Bacteria; Pseudomonadati; Pseudomonadota; Alphaproteobacteria; Sphingomonadales; Erythrobacteraceae
Description: partial 16S ribosomal RNA
Rfam family: Bacterial small subunit ribosomal RNA
Source: RNAcentral
CGUCAAGUCCUCACUGGCCCUUACAGGCUGGGCUACACACGUGCUACAAUGGCAUCUACAGUGGGCAGCUAUUCCGCAAGGAUGCGCUAAUCUCCAAAGAUGUCUCAGUUCGGAUUGUCCUCUGCAACUCGAGGGCAUGAAGGCGGAAUCGCUAGUAAUCGCGGAUCAGCAUGCCGCGGUGAAUACGUUCCCAGGCCUU